Molecule: ribosomal RNA, 468 nt
Filed under: uncultured bacterium
Lineage: Bacteria
Description: partial 16S ribosomal RNA
Rfam family: Bacterial small subunit ribosomal RNA
Source: RNAcentral
GACGAACGCUGGCGGCGUGCUUAACACAUGCAAGUCGAACGGAAAGGCCCUGCUUUUGUGGGGUGCUCGAGUGGCGAACGGGUGAGUAACACGUGAGUAACCUGCCCUUGACUUUGGGAUAACUUCAGGAAACUGGGGCUAAUACCGGAUAGGAGCUCCUGCUGCAUGGUGGGGGUUGGAAAGUUUCGGCGGUUGGGGAUGGACUCGCGGCUUAUCAGCUUGUUGGUGGGGUAGUGGAUUACCAAGGCUUGGACGGGUAGCCGGCCUGGGAGGGGGACCGGCCACAUUGGGACGGAGAUACGGCCCAGACUCCUACGGGAGGCAGCAGUGGGGAAUAUUGCACUAUGGGCGGAAGCCUGAUGCAGCAACGCCGCGUGGGGGAUGACGGCCUUCGGGUUGUAAACCGCUUUCGCCUGUGACGAAGCGUGAGUGACGGUAAUGGGUAAAGAAGCACCGGCUAACUACGUG